GUGAGGAAUAUUGGUCAAUGGGCGGGAGCCUGAACCAGCCAAGUCGCGUGAAGGAAGAAGGAUCUAUGGUUCGUAAACUUCUUUUGCAGGGGAAUAAAGUGCAGGACGUGUCCUGUUUUGUAUGUACCCUGAGAAUAAGGAUCGGCUAACUCCGUGCCAGCAGCCGCGGUAAUACGGAGGAUCCGAGCGUUAUCCGGAUUUAUUGGGUUUAAAGGGUGCGUAGGUGGUUUGAUAAGUCAGCGGUGAAAGUUUGCAGCUUAACUGUAAAAAUGCCGUUGAAACUGUCGGACUUGAGUGUGAAUGAGGUAGGAGGAAUGCGUGGUGUAGCGGUGAAAUGCAUAGAUAGCACGAAGAACUCCGAUUGCGAAGGCAGCUUACUAAGCUACAACUGACACUGAAGCACGAAAGCGUGGGGAUCAAACAGGAUUAGAAACCCGUGUAGUCC
Molecule: ribosomal RNA, 445 nt
Filed under: uncultured bacterium
Lineage: Bacteria
Description: partial 16S ribosomal RNA
Rfam family: Bacterial small subunit ribosomal RNA
Source: RNAcentral